GCCAUGGUUUUCCCAGUUACAAUGUAUGGCUGUGAAAGUUGAACCAUAAGAGGCUGAGUGCCAAAGAAUUGAGGCCUUUGAACUAUGGUGCUGGAGAAGACUCCUGCAAAUCCCCUGGACUACAAGGCGAUCAAUCCUAGAAGAGGUCAACUGUAACUGCUCUUUAGAAGGCCAGAUCCUGAAGUUGAAACUCAAGUACUUUGGCCACCUAAUGAGAACGAAGGACUCACUGGAGAAGAGCCUAAUGCUGGGAAAGAUUGAGGGCAAUAGAAGAAGGGGAUGACAGAAUGAGGUGGCUGGAUGGAGUCACUGAAGGUAAGCUUAAAUGGACUCCAGAAGAUGCUAGAGGACAGGAAGACCUGGAGGAACGCACGACUUAGCAACAACAAGAUUUACACUUGGAAUAAGAUACGAACUGGAUUUAACCUCCAACAGAACCUUACAAAGGAAAGGAUUUCCAGGAAGAUGAUCUGCACUUUGCCUACUGGAAUGGGCUGGCCUGCUGUUUCCUUCCUUUCCUAGUACCCGUUCUCCGUUUGUCCUUUGCUUUUGAGAGACUGGGGAUCUCAUAGUGGAAGGUGAAGAUGAAAUAUUAUGCAGUUGCUGGCAGGCUUGAUGUGAGCCAGAUUCUUCUGGGAAUGUAUGCAGUGUAGACUACUUGGACCCUUAAAAGACUAUUGACUGGGCCGAAUUGCCUGUCCACAUUUUAACGAGAGCACCGAAGAUGCCUAAGUGGAGGACCUUCUUCCCAAGAAGAAAUGCAACUAAGAAAUUUUCCUGGAUCCAUUGUUUGGGAUGGGAAGGAUUUGGCAUUGUUUAUCCAUUAUGUCCCUUAUUCUGUUUUUCCUGCAGAAGUGAGAGGCUUCCUUAUCAGAGCCUGAUUAGAAAGCAAUGGGAAGAUGAAUGACUUUGCUAUGUCUGUUGAAGCUGCAAAGGGCAAUGUCACUUACUCCUGCAAAAUAGUUCCUACUGGUGAUAACUUUGGACUCCAGUAGCAGCAUUAUACACACACCCAUCUGAGUAAACUCUUGCUGGUAAUGCUGCUGCAAAGCACGCCUUCUUAAAAGGGGUUAUUUUCUAACCCCUUCCUUCAUGUGUAGCUGUUCUUUUCUGUCCUGUCCCUGCUCCUAUGGUAGUAGCAGGAAAAGAGUAGCCUUUGAAGAGCUAUACGGCUUACUUAAAGUACCAUAUGAUACUGUGGAUGCUACUUAGAACUGGGUCAAGUUCAGUGGCUGGGAAAGGAACAACAAAAAAUUACUCUGCAGAGUUGGGGAAUCUCUUGACUUGCAGCAAAAUGUUAGCAAUUAUUUGGAAGGUGUUCUUGGACUAUUAAAUGUAUCACAGCUGCCCAGUCAGAAAAUCUCCAAGCAAUGUUCUUUUCAAGGACAUUGCCUUUCCCUACAAUUGAGUGUCUGCAACCUUUUCUGCUCCCUGUGUUUGUGGAUUUGUGCCCCCUUGAGAGAUUCCGAGGGAGACAAUGUAGUCUGUCUCAUGGGAGUUCAUGGUACUUCCAAGUAUUCGUCACAAAUAAAACACUACAAUAAAAAGUA
Molecule: long non-coding RNA, 1550 nt
Organism: Crotalus tigris (Tiger rattlesnake)
Lineage: Eukaryota; Metazoa; Chordata; Lepidosauria; Squamata; Viperidae
Exons: 4
Source: RefSeq, a predicted model, not a curated record